GACGAACGCUGGCGGCGUGGAUUAGGCAUGCAAGUCGAACGGUAGGAUACCUUCGGGUAUCUGAGAGUGGCGAACGGGUGAGUAACACGUAGGUGAUCUACCCUCAAGAUUGGGACAACCCAGGGAAACUUGGGCUAAUACCGGAUGAAAGCAGCAGUGAUGUUGUUUGAAAGGUGGCGUAAGCUGCCGUUUGGGGAUGAGCCUGCGCUCUAUUAGUUAGUUGGCGGGGUAAAGGCCCACCAAGGCGAUGAUAGGUAGGCGGCCUUAACGGGUGGUCGCCCACACUGGGAUUGAGAUACGGCCCAGACUCCUACGGGAGGCAGCAGUCGAGAAUAGUCUACAAUGGCCGAAAGGCUGAUAGUGCGACGCCGCGUGAACGAAGAAGCCCUUCGGGUGUAAAGUUCUUUUAUAUGUGAGCAGUGCUUUCUAUGUGAACAGCAUGGGGAGAGAGAUAUUAGCAUAUGAAUAAGCAACGGCUAACUCCGUGCCAGCAGCCGC
RNAcentral lists this ribosomal RNA (498 nucleotides) under uncultured bacterium. Its description in RNAcentral is "bacterial SSU rRNA". It matches the Rfam family "Bacterial small subunit ribosomal RNA", at positions 28 to 518 of the family's 1533-position model. The record is from RNAcentral.